UAUCCAAUCCAGGAUUCGAUCCUGGGUCGUGAUGGUCAAAAACCAACGGUUUUGACCACUUGACCAUUGAC
Molecule: non-coding RNA, 71 nt
Organism: Cordylochernes scorpioides
Lineage: Eukaryota; Metazoa; Arthropoda; Arachnida; Pseudoscorpiones; Chernetidae
Source: the annotation of a GenBank genome assembly